ACUCACUUCAUAGAUAGCACCUGUGCCAGGUGGUUUCAGUUCCACAACCUCAUUUAAUCCUCCACAAUUCCCUGACAUUUUAUAGGAAAGAAAACUGGCUCAGAGAGGCUGAGUAACCUGCUCAAGAUGACACAGCUUGUGGGUGGCUGAGUUGGCCUUCCAACCCAGAUUCCUGUCAUGUUCCUCAAGCCGACAGGUUCAGCUUGGUUGUGACCUCUGCUAGAAGCCCUCCCUGGCCUCCCUGUGCACUGAGCUGGUGGUUCCUCCUUUGCGCCCCAGGUACAUGCUCAGAUCUGUGUACCCUACACUUUGUCCUCCAGCUUCGUGUUUGGAUGUUCACAACUCCCAUGAGAAGGGCCCCCGAGAGCUGGCACAGUGCAUGUGUUUCCUCUCCAGACUUCUACAAACCUGGCACAUAAUUGUUUGCUGAAAGAUGGCAUGUUCCUAAAACAGAGGAAGUAGAACCGAAUAAAGCGAAAUCCAACUUCCCACUCCCUGC
RNAcentral lists this long non-coding RNA (499 nucleotides) under Homo sapiens (human). RNAcentral describes it as "long intergenic non-protein coding RNA 2580". The record is from RNAcentral. Lineage: Eukaryota; Metazoa; Chordata; Mammalia; Primates; Hominidae.